AUGGCCAUACCAUGCUGAAUAUACCGGUUCUCGUUAGAUCACCGAAGUCAAGCAUCAUUGGGCGCGGUCAGUACUUGGGUGGGUGACCACCUGGAAACACCGCGUGCCG
Molecule: ribosomal RNA, 109 nt
Filed under: Caerostris extrusa
Lineage: Eukaryota; Metazoa; Arthropoda; Arachnida; Araneae; Araneidae
Source: RNAcentral